GGGGAAUUUUGGACAAUGGGCGCAAGCCUGAUCCAGCCAUGCCGCGUGAGUGAAGAAGGCCUUCGGGUUGUAAAGCUCUUUCAGGUGGAAAGAAAUCGCACUUUUUAAUACAGGGUGUGGAUGACGGUACCAUCAGAAGAAGCACCGGCUAACUACGUGCCAGCAGCAGCGGUAAUACGUAGGGUGCGAGCGUUAAUCGGAAUUACUGGGCGUAAAGCGUGCGCAGGCGGUUAUGUAAGACAGAUGUGAAAACCCCGGGCCCAACCUGGGAACUGCGUUUGUGACUGCAUAACUAGAGUACGGCAGAGGGAGGUGGAAUUCCGCGUGUAGCAGUGAAAUGCGUAGAGAUGCGGAGGAACACCGAUGGCGAAGGCAGCCUCCUGGGCCAGUACUGACGCUCAUGCACGAAAGCGUGGGGAGCAAAC
This 425-nucleotide ribosomal RNA is filed under the name uncultured bacterium. Its description in RNAcentral is "bacterial SSU rRNA". It matches the Rfam family "Bacterial small subunit ribosomal RNA", at positions 356 to 773 of the family's 1533-position model. The record is from RNAcentral.